AUGGUGGGUACAAUUGUUCUGGCGACACCACACUUCUGCUUCGGGGUACUGAGACGUUCUCUAAUACAAGAAGAUGGCAUCUACACAAUUAAGUGUGAUGGGCAAAGUAUUGAGAUUAAAGCCGAGGAUUUUGUUUCAUCACAUCAUGGUUUUUUUGCUGGGUUCUAUAUUUAUCACAACAAGUUACCAUAUGAUAUCAAGAAUGUGGCUGCAGUUGAAUUUGGUGAAGAGGUUAAAUUGUUUGAUGUGGUUAACCUUUGUGACAUUACAGUUGGACGCUAUAAGAUGUUCAUUGACAUCACAGAUGGUCAUGUCAUGGAUGUAAGAGUAGGAGACUUUGUCCAUAAUUGUGCUCAUAGCUUGCACACUGCCAAUGGUUCACCCGUUUUUUCUAAAGACGGUGAACUUGUUGGCGUAUGUAUUUUGAACCGACAAGGCCCAUCCGUGGCUCUAGACGCGGCGAGAAUAAAAGCCGAGCUGAUGAUGAUACAUGAAUCCAAGACACUCAAGGAGUUUUUUGGAGUAGUACGGGAAUCAGCAGGAAUUGCCGAGGCAUCAGCUGCAGCCACGGUACAGCCUGGAGCGCAAUAA
Molecule: ribosomal RNA, 591 nt
Filed under: Triticum aestivum (bread wheat)
Lineage: Eukaryota; Viridiplantae; Streptophyta; Magnoliopsida; Poales; Poaceae
Description: partial small subunit ribosomal RNA
Source: RNAcentral